Non-coding RNA from Procambarus clarkii (red swamp crayfish), 5442 nucleotides. NCBI's taxonomy places the organism in Eukaryota, Metazoa, Arthropoda, Malacostraca, Decapoda, Cambaridae. The record is from RefSeq and is a predicted model, not a curated record.
UGUGUGUGUGUGUGUGUGUGUGUGUGUGUGUGUGUGUGUGUGUGUGUGUGUGUGUGAGAGAAUACCUAGCGCAUAGGUUUGACGCCUCGUCACAGCUCCUGUGGAUUUUCUCAGAAUUACAUGUAGUAUUAUUAUUAUUAUUAUUAUUAUUAUUAUUAUUAUUAUCAUUGUCAUUUAUUAUUAUUAUUAUUAUUAUUAUUACAGAGUAAUCACACUAAUGUGACUGCAUCAAUGAGUAAAUCCAUAGGAGCCGCGAUGAAGGUUUGAACCUAUGUGCUGGGUGUUCCCAGGUACAACUAGGCCACGACAUGAUAAGGAUUGCAACCUGGAGUUCUACUGAACACUCAAGGAUUUCCUGAGGCUUCUACUGAAGCCAGAACAGGAUUUUCACACAAUCUUCCCAUGCACUCUUGCUCUAUGGCAGAGCUAGAGUGUGAUACACAGAGUCUAUGUGCAUUGGAGGAGGAGCGUCAGAGAGAGAGCAAGUCCUAGAUGACAGAGCCAGAGUGCAUGGGGGGGUUAGUGUGAAAAUCUUGUUCCGGCUUCAGUAGAAGCCUCACGAAAUCCUUGUGUGUUCAGUCGAACUUCAGGUUACAAUCCUUAUCAUGUCGUGGCCUAGUUGACUAGGGCGUGUACAUAGGAACACCCACCACAUAGAUUCAAACCCUCAUUAUGGCUCCUAUGGAUUUUAUCAUCAUAUUCAUCAUCAUCAUCAUCAUCAUCAUCAUCAUCAUUAUUAUUAUUAUUAUUAUUAUUAUUAUUAUUAUUAUUGAGAAAAUGUAAGAGCAGCGAGGAGGGUUCGAACCUAUUGUAUAUGGUGGGUGUUCCCACGCACAUGCCCUAGUCAUCUAGGCCAUGUUUAUUAUUAUUAUUAUUACUACUACUUAGGAUAAAACCCCUAAAUAUGUCACUAUGUUUGUGAGAAGACAUUACAGUACAAUAAUAAUUAUUAUUGUUGUGGCAUUCUAGUAACUCCCAGAUAUUUGUCUGAACACUUGGCCAUGAUAGGACUAAAACAACUCGACCUGGAACUGUACAGAGUCCAGUGGGAGAGUCUGAAAGCCCCAUAUAACUUUAGUUAAGGCAACCAUCUGGGAGGCAGAAGACUGGCUCAAAUCCCCGCAUUUCUCAAAAUGAUUCUCAUUGAUAUACAGUUUCAUGCAAUUGUGAUUUCUUUGUAUUCUGAAGGAGGGACAUGUGGUGAACACCAUUACCUACAGGCCAGAGUGUAGGCGAGCGACUUGUAAAACUUGGUUGUGGCACCAAUUGGGGCCUCCAGACUCUCCCAUGGGACUUGGUAGAUUUCUGAUUGAAUAACUUUUGUCCUGUCGUGACUGAGUACUUAGCUAGUUGUGCUUGUGGGGGGUUGAGUUUCGGCUCCUUGGUCCCGCCUCUUAACUGUCAAUAAAUUGGUUUACCGGCUCCUGAACCUAUUGGGCUCUGUCAUAUCUAUAUUUGAAACUUUAUAUGGAAUCUGUCCUCCAACACACAUCACUUUCGAGUGCAUUCCAUUUGUUAAGUACUCGGACUCUGAAAAACUUUUUUCUAAUCUUUUUGUGCUUCAAUUUGGGACUUAGUUUUCACCUGUGUUCCCUUGUUCAUGUUCCAUCCAUGCUAAGUAGUUUGUCAAUAUCUACCCUGAGACUUUCGUCAGUGGUGAUCAUGUCUUCUGUAACUCUUCUGUUCAAGAAAAAGUGACAGUCCAAGAAAAUGCAGUCUGUCCUCUCAUCUCUUUCUUGGCUAAUUUUUUUAGUCAAGUCAUAGAAUUCUAUUAAACCUGUGAGGCACAGUUAACUAUCUCUUAACCCAUGCUGGUGAUGUGUUAAUUUCCACCAUCAUGUCUAAACUAUGUCCAGUAGCAUAGCUCUCCAUGUAUCUGUACCUCCAUGUAGUUCUCUGUUCUCCCAGUCUAUUUUUCAUUGGUUGAAGUCUCCCAUUAUUAAAAGUCUGGAUCCAUUCCUGCAGGUGACCAAAGUUUCUCUAUUAUGUUAAUGGUUGUCAUGUUGUUUCUGUCAUACUCCUGUUUGGGUCUUGUGUCAUUAACGGAGGGUUAUAUAUCACCUUAGUACCUUAUACCUUAUAUAGUACCUUAGUGCCAAUGAGGGAACUUUAGGUUUCCUCUUGUCAUAAUGCCUGUUACGUAGUCUGAACCCUUCAUAGCCCAGGAUAUCCAUCACUUCCUUGUUAGGGCCACUCCUCCUCCUGUUCUUCCUUUUCUUUCUCUCUUUCUUUAUUAUAUAGUAGUCCUGCAGAAACACUGCACUGUGAAUGGGUUUAGCAGGCAUAUGAGAGUCAUUACAGUGCUGGUUCAAAUAUCCGUAUUGCUAAAAAUUGUUUUCUAAUAAUUUAUUACAGUUAUUAUUAUUAUUAUUAUUAUUAUUUAUGCACAGGCUGAGUGGCAUUGUGUUACGAUGGCUGCUUUCUAAGGGUUUACCUACGUGAGGGGUUCUUGUUUUAAUUAGUUUUGUAGAUAUUUAGCUCAGUAUGGCCAGUGAAAGUGUCAAUUGUUUUGUGGUGCCAUAGCAUCACCAAUUAAUACUUAAGCAUGAGCAAUGUAAAAGAAAAAGAACCAUCAUUUGGUGAAGACCUUUUGCUUAAUUACAGAAGUGCUUCCAUGAGCAAUCUUAAUUCUCAAUAAAUAUAUUUUAUUUGUGCAGUACUCAUAUUAUUACACAGGGAAAUCACAUUAUCGUGAUAUCUCAAUGAGAAAAUCCACAGGAGUCGUGAUGAGGAUUCGAACCUAUGAGCUGGGUGUUCCCAGAUGCACGCUCAAGUCGACUAUGCCACGACGUGGUUCUACUCGUGUUAUUGAUAUGAUCAUAAAGGAUCUUCAGUUACCCGGUCAGUUAACAUUUAUCAGGUCGUGUAUUAGGCCACUCCUUGAGUACUGUAUGCAGCUCCAGCAUGGGGUCCACACCUGAUACAGCACAUGAAGAAAAUUAAAGUCUAUGGAUUUUCCACAAAACAGGUAGUAAAAUAGGAAAAUAUUCUAGUGGGAGAGGUAAAAUGAACUGCAACUAAUAACUUUAGAUGAGAGGAAGGGGGGGGGGACAAAAGUCGAUAUUAUCACACACACUACAAGACACUGAGGAAGUAGACAAAAUGAACCGAGACAAUCUUUUUCAAGGUGAGAGACAACAAAACAAAGGGACACACGUGAAAGUUGGAAACACAGAUGAGCAGAGAAAUGUUAGUAUUUACCUUCAGUAAUAGUGGUAAAUAAGAGGAAUAAGUUUAAAGCAAUGGUUGUGAAAGUGAGCACCAUUGAGAGGUUGCAAGAGCAAGUAAGACAGUACUGGAGCAUUGGUAAUUACAGAUACUGCAGGAACAGUAGGUAUGAGGUGGGGCUGUAGAGCUGCUGCUCAUACACACAACUACCUCAGCACUGCACCCACACUUUUUGACAGAUAUCCCAUUUUCUUAAGAGAAGGAAAUUCCUUCAGAAAUGGUAUAAAAUGUUAUAAAAAAAGUCUGAAAACUAGUGAAUUAGCAAAAUUUGCCCCUGUUAAUGCAUUUUGUCACAGCAUACCACAUGCAUCAGUCUCCAUCUACACUGUGACACAACAUUUACUUACACAAUACCUUAUAUUGUAUAGUAAAUGUAUUUAAAAUAUUCUCCCUAUAAUAUUUGUUUAUGAAUAAUAUAUUUAUGAAAAAUAACUUAUUUACAUAGUAUUUAUAAACUAAAAAAGGUAUAAGUUAAUCUUUAUGAUUAUAUUGAGGCAUGUGAGAAGAGAGAGAUAAGGCAAUGUGGACAAAAGUAAUGUUAUGGUGGUGGAGAGAAGAAAAUUUAAUAUAUGAAGUACAGUAAGUAUGAAUUGUGGAGUGCUGAAUGUAGUCGAUCACUUUAAAUAUCUAGCAUGUAUGGUUACUUAAGAGUAAGUUAUAUAAUUGUAGAUAACAAUAGGGUUAGUUGGAAAGGAAAGUGGAUAAUGCAGUGAAAGCUCUGAUAGGAAGACCAAGAUAGAAACAUUGUAUCAUAGUUGUAGCCAGACAUCAGCAUAAAGAAAUGCUGGUGAUAUCUUUCAGGGUUUCCAUCUGUCAGUGGUAGGAAGCCCGUUAGGUUUAUUGAGGUCUUCGUAGGCCAGUGAUAUACAUUCCCAAGAUUCAAGCCACAACACUUACCUUACUGCUAGGUGAAUAGAAGAGUACCAGGUGUAAGAAAACAUGCCCUGAUAUCUUGUCUUGCUCAGGGACCAAACUUGAGCCUUCUGGUUGAGGUGACUGUAGUGACCUCUGAGUCACAGGUUGUGUGAUGCUUUAGCAUAAUGUGAAACACAGGAGUUAAAGCAGUUGAAAGUGAUAAUAUAAGAAGCAUGUGUGUGUAACAAGAGUACACUCAACAUCUUCUCUUCUGGACACCUUGCACCCAACUGUGAUUAACCUGGUUAUGUAGUAGUGUUUGGAUAAGUAGUCAAAUUCCUCCCCCCGGUACGAAAAUUAAUCAUUUUAUGUACAAAAGUAUGUAACAAAACAUUAUCGUUUCACUAGAUACAAAACUAAACACCACAAAAUAUUGGUAGAGUACAGUAACAGUACUAACAAUAAAUAUUGGUACUCACCAAGUGUCCAGAUGUUUCUCCACAUUAGAUCUUGGAAUGAUGGAUAGAUGAGUAUAGUGUUAAUUGAGGGUGGAGGUAUAUGUUGAAGGUUACACAGAGAAGGAACACAAGAGGCCUCAGUUCACGAGGGUGGAGGUAUAUGUUGAAGGUUACACAGAGAAGGAACACAAGAGGCCUCAGUUCACGAGGGUGGAGGUAUAUGUUGAAGGUUACUCAGAGAUGGAACACAAGAGGCCUCAGUUCACGAGGGUGGAGGUAUAUGUUGAAGGUUACACAGAGAAGGAACACAAGAGGCCUCUGUUCACGAGGGUGGAGGUAUAUGUUGAAGGUUACACAGAGAAGGAACACAAGAGGCCUCUGUUCACGAGGGUGGAGGUAUAUGUUGAAGGUUACACAGAGAAGGAACACAAGAGGCCUCAGUUCACACACUCUUGGAAGCUCUCUCAAAAGUAUCUUUGAGUGUUCAUUGCCUCUAGCCAUCUCUUUGUAUUUUUGAAAAACUGUGUAAAAUCUAUAAACUGCCAUCAGACUCUGAAGAUUGACAUUAGAUCUUCUUUCCAUGAACUUUAAAAUGGUUUCAAAACUCUUCUCUACCUCUGCCAUGCUUGCUUGAGUUGCUCUGUCUUCCUCCUCCGAUGUUGAUGAAUCUUCCGAAUCCUGAAAAUUCACUUGUCUGUUUUCUGUCACCAGAUUAAUGAUAUCAUCAUCAGACAUGCUUGGUGCUGUAGGAACAUCUCGAUCACACUCAAUCCAUGCAUCCACUUCUUCCUCAAGAUUUGCUCUGAUCAAUUAAUUUCUUGAAUGUUGGGACUGUUCAUUUAUUCCUUUAACAUAGGCAAGUAGUUCUUGUCUUAAUUUCUUCAUCUCAAUGAUUUUUCUU